This 498-nucleotide ribosomal RNA is filed under the name uncultured bacterium. RNAcentral's name for it is "partial 16S ribosomal RNA". It matches the Rfam family "Bacterial small subunit ribosomal RNA", at positions 30 to 523 of the family's 1533-position model. The record is from RNAcentral.
ACUGAACGCUGGCGGCAUGCCUUACACAUGCAAGUCGAACGGUAACAGGUCUUCGGAUGCUGACGAGUGGCGAACGGGUGAGUAAUACAUCGGAACGUGUCUAGUAGUGGGGGAUAACUACUCGAAAGAGUGGCUAAUACCGCAUGAGAUCUACGGAUGAAAGCAGGGGAUCGCAAGACCUUGUGCUACUAGAGCGGCCGAUGGCAGAUUAGGUAGUUGGUGGGAUAAAAGCUUACCAAGCCGACGAUCUGUAGCUGGUCUGAGAGGACGAUCAGCCACACUGGGACUGAGAAACGGCCCAGACUCCUACGGGAGGCAGCAGUGGGGAAUUUUGGACAAUGGGCGCAAGCCUGAUCCAGCAAUGCCGCGUGCAGGAUGAAGGCCUUCGGGUUGUAAACUGCUUUUGUACGGAACGAAAAGCCCCGGGUUAAUACCCUGGGGUCAUGACGGUACCGUAAGAAUAAGCACCGGCUAACUACGUGCCAGCCGCCGCGGUAA